This 253-nucleotide ribosomal RNA is filed under the name uncultured bacterium. RNAcentral describes it as "partial 16S ribosomal RNA". It matches the Rfam family "Bacterial small subunit ribosomal RNA", at positions 524 to 776 of the family's 1533-position model. The record is from RNAcentral.
GACAGAGGUGCCAAGCGUUAGGCGGAAUUACUGGGCGUAAAGCGUGCGCAGGCGGUUAUGUAAGACAGUUGUGAAAUCCCCGGGCUCAACCUGGGAACUGCAUCUGUGACUGCAUAGCUAGAGUACGGUAGAGGGGGAUGGAAUUCCGCGUGUAGCAGUGAAAUGCGUAGAUAUGCGGAGGAACACCGAUGGCGAAGGCAAUCCCCUGGACCUGUACUGACGCUCAUGCACGAAAGCGUGGGGAGCAAACAGG